UACGGAGGAUCCGAGCGUUAUCCGGAUUUAUUGGGUUUAAAGGGUGCGUAGGCGGGUUUUUAAGUCAGUGGUGAAAGUUUGCAGCUCAACUGUAAAAUUGCCAUUGAAACUGAAGACCUUGAGUGCAAAUGAGGUAGGCGGAAUGUGUUGUGUAGCGGUGAAAUGCUUAGAUAUAACACAGAACACCAAUUGCGAAGGCAGCUUACUAGAAUGCAACUGACGCUGAGGCACGAAAGCGUGGGGAUCAAAC
Molecule: ribosomal RNA, 250 nt
Filed under: uncultured bacterium
Lineage: Bacteria
Description: partial 16S ribosomal RNA
Rfam family: Bacterial small subunit ribosomal RNA
Source: RNAcentral